Non-coding RNA from Struthio camelus australis, 1580 nucleotides. The record is from Ensembl. Lineage: Eukaryota; Metazoa; Chordata; Aves; Struthioniformes; Struthionidae.
AGCGCCCUCUAGCUCAUCCACCCACUUGAACAACCCACUAAACUCAAAAACUAAAACAUUUUCCCUACUUAGUAUAGGCGAUAGAAAAGUUACUUGACGCAAUAGAGAUAUCCUUGUACCGCAAGGGAAAGAUGAAAUAAUAAUGAAAACCAAAGCAAAAAACAGCAAAGAUCAACCCUUGUACCUUUUGCAUCAUGAUUUAGCAAGAACAACCAAGCAAAACGAAUUUAAGCUUGCCAUCCCGAAACCCAAGCGAGCUACUUACAAGCAGCUAUUAUUGAGCAAACCCGUCUCUGUGGCAAAAGAGUGGGAAGACUUGUCAGUAGAGGUGAAAAGCCAACCGAGCUGGGUGAUAGCUGGUUGCCUGUGAAAAGAAUCUAAGUUCACUCCUAACUUACCCCUCCCGGCAUCCACUAACCUUAAUGAGGAAAGCUAGGAACUAUUUAAAGGAGGUACAGCUCCUUUAAAAAAGAACACAACCUCCAUUAGAGGGUAACCCCCCCCCCCCCCUCCUCCCACGUUGGCCCUAAAGCAGCCAUCAACAAAGAGUGCGUCAAAGCUCAACCAAAUAAAAAUUCAAUAACACUAUGACCCCCUACACCACUAACAGGCCAAUCUAUGACCAUAGAAGAACUUAUGCUAAAAUGAGUAAUUAGAAAUUCUUCUCUAAAGCGCAAGCUUACAUUAUAUAUUAUUAACAGCCUAACUUAUAUUUACACUCCUACUAGAACAAAUAUAAAACCACUCUGUUAACCCAACUCAGGAGCGCCUAUUAGAAAGAUUAAAAUCUGCAAAAGGAACUAGGCAAACCCAAGGCCCGACUGUUUACCAAAAACAUAGCCUUCAGCCAAUAACAAGUAUUGAAGGUGAUGCCUGCCCAGUGACUAAUGUUUAACGGCCGCGGUAUCCUAACCGUGCGAAGGUAGCGCAAUCAAUUGUCCCAUAAAUCGGGACUUGUAUGAAUGGCUAAACGAGGUCUCAACUGUCUCUUGCAGAUAAUCAAUGAAAUUGAUCUUCCUGUGCAAAAGCAGGAAUAUAAACAUAAGACGAGAAGACCCUGUGGAACUUAAAAACCAAGGAUCAAUGCACUCCCACCCAAACCUACUAAGGCUCACCACUCCUGCAACCAACUGAUCCUCGUUUUUUGGUUGGGGCGACCUUGGAGAAAAAAGAAUCCUCCAAAAACAAGACCACAACUCUUAACUAAGAGCCACUCCUCAAAGUGCCAACAGCGACCAGACCCAAUAUAAUUGAUUAAUGGACCAAGCUACCCCAGGGAUAACAGCGCAAUCUCCUUCAAGAGCCCCUAUCGACAAGGAGGUUUACGACCUCGAUGUUGGAUCAGGACAUCCUAAUGGUGCAGCCGCUAUUAAGGGUUCGUUUGUUCAACGAUUAACAGUCCUACGUGAUCUGAGUUCAGACCGGAGAAAUCCAGGUCGGUUUCUAUCUAUGCUAUACUUUUCUCAGUACGAAAGGACCAGAAAAGUGAGGCCAAUACCAAAAGCACGCCUCCCCGCCUAAUUAGUGAAAACAUCUCAACUAACAAGGAAACCACCACCCCCGACCCUAGAAAAGGGCUA